AUAUACGGCAAGCGGCCAAGCGAAAGCGUUAAGUAUUCCACCUGAGGAGUACGCCGGCAACGGUGAAACUCAAAGGAAUUGACGGGGGCCCGCACAAGCGGAGGAACAUGUGGUUUAAUUCGAUGAUACGCGAGGAACCUUACCCGGGCUUAAAUUGCAGAUGAAUUACGGUGAAAACAGUAAGCCGCAAGGCAUCUGUGAAGGUGCUGCAUGGUUGUCGUCAGCUCGUGCCGUGAGGUGUCGGCUUAAGUGCCAUAACGAGCGCAACCCUCGUUGUCAGUUACUAACAGGUUCCGCUGAGGACUCUGACAAGACUGCCAUCGUAAGAUGUGAGGAAGGUGGGGAGGACGUCAAAUCAGCACGGCCCCUACGUCCGGGGGUACACACGUGUUACAAUGGGGGGUACAGAGGGCCGCUACCACGCGAGUGGAUGCCAAUCCCCAAAACCUCUCUCAGUUCGGACUGGAGUCUGCAACCCGACUCCACGAAGAUGGAUUCGCUAGUAAUCGCGCAUCAGCCACGGCGCGGUGAAAAAGUUCCCGGGCCUCGCACACACCGCCCAAGGGCGAA
This 570-nucleotide ribosomal RNA is filed under the name uncultured bacterium. Its description in RNAcentral is "bacterial SSU rRNA". It matches the Rfam family "Bacterial small subunit ribosomal RNA", at positions 832 to 1406 of the family's 1533-position model. The record is from RNAcentral.